Molecule: long non-coding RNA, 613 nt
Filed under: Phasianus colchicus (ring-necked pheasant)
Lineage: Eukaryota; Metazoa; Chordata; Aves; Galliformes; Phasianidae
Description: lncRNA (ENSPCLG00000020040.1)
Source: RNAcentral
GUUGUCCUAUUUCAUCCAACAAAGCAGGGAAUUUUCUCUUAUAUUUGCAGAGUAAAGGUGUGAUGAGAAUAGACAAGUUGAAAGCACCAGAAGAGACCACAGGUGAAUGAGCGAAGCAACUGUUCAUUUAAGGGGACAAUUACAUUGAUGAGGAUUGAAGAUAAGAUGGUUUAUUCUCCAUCCAAUGCAUCAAGAGAAUGAUAUGGAGGUCUCUAUCCCUGAGGCUUAUCUGCUUUGGAACCUGCAACAGGAAAAGAGCCAAGUAUUUGGCUAUGAACAUGUGUCCCUGAGGACUCAGGUGAUAAAUAAUGAUAACCUGUCAAGCUGGUGUUCUGCCUUAAGUUACUGGGAACUUCAGAGUGAAGCAAAUGUGCUGUGGUGGAUGAGCCUAGUGCCCAGACAUUGUACUAAAGAGCUUAAAGGCGGCUGAAGAAUUUGUAGCUUCUUGGGUUCUCCAUAUAGUGGUUCAUCUGUUUGAUUUUUCUUCUUGCAAUGAAAUCACAGUCUUUUACCACUGACAUGCCUGUAUAAUUAUCAGGUUAUGAAAACAGACUAUAGAUGAAAGUGAAGUGGAAAAAGAGAAAUAAAUGUGCUGGUUGCAUGAGUGCUGUCA